This 336-nucleotide long non-coding RNA is filed under the name Phoenix dactylifera (date palm). Its description in RNAcentral is "long non-coding RNA (PDAC_LNC016834)". The record is from RNAcentral. Lineage: Eukaryota; Viridiplantae; Streptophyta; Magnoliopsida; Arecales; Arecaceae.
UUUUACCUUAUUUAGUUUUUGCUGAAUUUUUCUUCAAGAAAAACGACGCUCUCCGACCCUUCUAAUUUUUUUCAUACCUUUGUCUUUGCCUUUCUCUUCUUUUCCUCCUCCUUUCUCUCUGCCUUUCCUUCACCUAAGCUGAUGGAUUUGGCUUUAGCAUUCGGUUAGCUUUUAUAGCCAACCGUUGAGGCACUGUGGCACUUUGAAAAGUGCCACUGUGAGCCACAGUGCGGCACUUUCGAAGUGCCGCACACUUUCAUUCGAAAUGCCGCACAAAGAGGCACUUUGAAAGUGCCUAUGGCCAGAAAGUGCCACAGCGCUGGCACUAAAAUCCAG